CAGCCGCCGCGGUAAUACGUAGGUGGCAAGCGUUGUCCGGAAUUAUUGGGCGUAAAGCGCGCGCAGGCGGAUCAGUCAGUCUGUCUUAAAAGUUCGGGGCUUAACCCCGUGAUGGGAUGGAAACUGCUGAUCUAGAGUAUCGGAGAGGAAAGUGGAAUUCCUAGUGUAGCGGUGAAAUGCGUAGAUAUUAGGAAGAACACCAGUGGCGAAGGCGACUUUCUGGACGAAAACUGACGCUGAGGCGCGAAAGCCAGGGGAGCGAACGGGAUUAGAUACCCCCGUAGUCCCUGUCUCUUAUACA
This 301-nucleotide ribosomal RNA is filed under the name uncultured bacterium. Its description in RNAcentral is "partial 16S ribosomal RNA". It matches the Rfam family "Bacterial small subunit ribosomal RNA", at positions 509 to 809 of the family's 1533-position model. The record is from RNAcentral.